RNAcentral lists this ribosomal RNA (464 nucleotides) under Vreelandella stevensii. RNAcentral describes it as "partial 16S ribosomal RNA". It matches the Rfam family "Bacterial small subunit ribosomal RNA", at positions 338 to 795 of the family's 1533-position model. Lineage: Bacteria; Pseudomonadati; Pseudomonadota; Gammaproteobacteria; Oceanospirillales; Halomonadaceae. The record is from RNAcentral.
CCUACGGGGGGCAGCAGUGGGGAAUAUUGGACAAUGGGGGGAACCCUGAUCCAGCCAUGCCGCGUGUGUGAAGAAGGCCUCGGGUUGUAAAGCACUUUCAGUGAGGAAGAACGCCUGGUGGUUAAUACCCAUCAGGAAAGACAUCACUCACAGAAGAAGCACCGGCUAACUCCGUGCCAGCAGCCGCGGUAAUACGGAGGGUGCGAGCGUUAAUCGGAAUUACUGGGCGUAAAGCGCGCGUAGGUGGCUUGAUAAGCCGGUUGUGAAAGCCCCGGGCUCAACCUGGGAACGGCAUCCGGAACUGUCAAGCUAGAGUGCAGGAGAGGAAGGUAGAAUUCCCGGUGUAGCGGUGAAAUGCGUAGAGAUCGGGAGGAAUACCAGUGGCGAAGGCGGCCUUCUGGACUGACACUGACACUGAGGUGCGAAAGCGUGGGUAGCAAACAGGAUUAGAUACCCCGGUAGUC